GAUGAACGCUGGCGGCGUGCCUAAUACAUGCAAGUCGAGCGAACAGAUGAGGAGCUUGCUCCUCUGACGUUAGCGGCGGACGGGUGAGUAACACGUGGAUAACCUACCUAUAAGACUGGGAUAACUUCGGGAAACCGGAGCUAAUACCGGAUAAUAUAUUGAACCGCAUGGUUCAAUAGUGAAAGACGGUUUUGCUGUCACUUAUAGAUGGAUCCGCGCCGCAUUAGCUAGUUGGUAAGGUAACGGCUUACCAAGGCAACGAUGCGUAGCCGACCUGAGAGGGGGAUAGGCCACACUGGAACUGAGACACGGUCCAGACUCCUACGGGAGGCAGCAGUAGGGAAUCUUCCGCAAUGGGCGAAAGCCUGACGGAGCAACGCCGCGUGAGUGAUGAAGGUCUUCGGAUCGUAAAACUCUGUUAUUAGGGAAGAACAAAUGUGUAAGUAACUAUGCACGUCUUGACGGUACCUAAUCAGAAAGCCACGGCUAACUACGUG
RNAcentral lists this ribosomal RNA (497 nucleotides) under uncultured bacterium. Its description in RNAcentral is "partial 16S ribosomal RNA". It matches the Rfam family "Bacterial small subunit ribosomal RNA", at positions 28 to 507 of the family's 1533-position model. The record is from RNAcentral.